CACUGUUAUUCAGACAGUGAGUUUUGUCAACUUCAGACUCAUCAGUUGAUUCUGAAAUUUAAAGGGGAAAAUGUUAUAAUGCUAUGACACUGACAAUUACACGGAAAAGCAAGUAUGAAAAAUGGAAACCAUACCGAUUAAGAGGCGGGUUCUGAGACUCAGCUUAGGCCUAGGUUACACAGAUGAUUAGACGAAGAUCCAGCACUGCAGCAGGAUUCUCCUGGGCUCCAUUCCAGUGAUCUUUCCUUACCUUGUGCUGCCUCCUGGUGAGCUCAGCUGUGAGCACACAAAGAACUUAAAAUGAGAUAAGGAAAUGGAGGCUCAGUGAGGCACUGUGCUAGACUCAGGCAAUACAAGGAUGGACAAGAAAGAAAGCAUCCCUGCCUUCAUGAAACUCACAGUCUGAAGUCAAUAAACAAACAGCUGUUGCCACUUUACAGAAAGAAAAGUGUGGCUCAGACCAUAAUUUCAGGAAGAAGCAUGCAAUUUUUGGUAAUUCAAUGAAAUAUAAAGAUGAAUCAGAAGUCCGGUAUAGAAUGCAUCAUCCAUUGGUUCUGGAUUUAACAUACAAAAUCCGUAAAAGAACUGAAAUGUUCUGAAGCUUGAAUCUCUCUCAUGCAGUUAUUCUGUUGGAUGAAGUGGCAUUUCAAAUUUGCUCACUCAGAUUUGGGACAUUAGUCUCAUUCUGAAGCACACCAAUGCUUCCAGAACUACCAGCAUGCUGUAAUGAAAGGUACCGCCAUGAGACUUGAAGAAGUAUCUGACUUUGUCCCAAAAUCUAUCUGAAUAAGAAAAACGGACAAACAAAAAGAUAAGGAGAAGAAAGAGGAAACAAAAGCUAAAAGGUUCACCUUAACUUUCCCAGCAUUUUCGUCAUCUUCUUUUUUGUCUUCAAAUUCAAAGGCAACAGUCAUGCGUUGUUGUCUCUGCUCUUCCCACAGUGUAGGGUUAAAGCUGUCACUGUCUGACUGGAAAUCUACAGUUAGAUUCCAAAGUAUUAUUGUUUUUUUAAAAAACAAUUUUACACAAAGUAUUUAAUAUAGUAUGCAAAAAUGGUGAUAGAUACUACAAACAAAUACGGAAAUAAAGAAGAAAGAAAGAAAAAAAGAAAGAGAAAGAAGGAAAGAGAAAAGAAUAAAAUUCCCUUGAUAUUUAUUA
This 1158-nucleotide long non-coding RNA is filed under the name Homo sapiens (human). Its description in RNAcentral is "HSALNT0293037". Lineage: Eukaryota; Metazoa; Chordata; Mammalia; Primates; Hominidae. The record is from RNAcentral.